Long non-coding RNA from Electrophorus electricus (electric eel), 1233 nucleotides. RefSeq lists it as uncharacterized. NCBI's taxonomy places the organism in Eukaryota, Metazoa, Chordata, Actinopteri, Gymnotiformes, Gymnotidae. The record is from RefSeq and is a predicted model, not a curated record.
CAAUCAGACACACCAUGUAUCAGUUUCAGCAAUUUCUAAUGGUAAGUCAAAGAGGAACAUGAAGGAUCCCAGUGGGCAGAGUAAUUCCUUACGACUCCAAACUUCACGGACUCCCGUGUUCCUGAAGAACACGACUGCUUACCGCAGAUGGGAACCAGAACCCUGUAGGUGCUGAGGUCACACCUGGCACAGCAAUAACACAGCAAAAAGCUCAAUGAACAUCCCACAUUCUGCAGCAACACUUCACCUAAGUAUCCACUUUGGGGAAACAUUCUUUCCUAAAGGCGGAGGCAGGUCGGAAUUUCCUCACGGCAUGUUCCAAACUCAGAGUAGAGCUGCUCAUGUGUAAACAAGAAGAAGAGAGAGGCCAGUAAAGGCAAACCCACUAGAGAAACACUUCACCGGCCUGUACACCACCCCGGCUUCUGAGAGGAGGAAAAGCACCUUCAGAGCAGAUGAACUUGUAUUCAGCAUGAAUAUAUCACAUGAAAAUGGAACCGCUCUCCUUGGAACAUCAGGAAUCCCGCUCAUCCCCGCAAUGCCUCUUCCCACACCUACCUCUGAUCUGGUUCGCCGGAAUAUUAGCACACACCUGAUCCUUUUCCCUCUACUUAAGCUCCUCUCUGUCACAGUCGCGUCUUGAAGUAUUGCCAAUCUGAUGUUGCGUACCAAGCAGUUCAGGUAGUUUUGUCUUCCUGGUUUUCGACUCCUGCCUGUGUUUCAGACCUCGUCUUCUGUCUGACCCCUGGGCACCCGCCAGUCCUCUGCCCCGUGUUAACGACCUUGAACCACCCGGACUACGAAUACCUGAUCUGUUUGAUUUCUCUAAUAAAACCUCUUGCGAUUAGAUCCAUUUCCUUGCGCCUGUGUGUGCUCCUCUGCAUGUCACAGUUGGCCCCUCCUGUCUCCAUGGUUACCUUGUCUCAUGUCUUUGUUUUGAUUUACUUCCUUGUUGUGGUUCCGUUGCUUAGUUUCAUUAUCUCCGCCCCUCAUGAGUUGCACCUGUAUCUAGUUAAGUCUUAUUAGUACAUGUAUUUAAACCCCACCAUGUUGCCUGUGUGUUGGCUGGUCAUUGUUAAUCCAAACCUCCAUGUAUGUAAUACUAAACUGUGUGUAAAAUCUGUUUGUAAUUCCUAAUUGAUCGUGAUUCCUAGCUGUGUGUUAAUUCUAGCCUGCUCCCUUUUUGUCGUAGUGUGUUUUGUUUAAGAUGACCUUGGACUGUACUGUCUCUGA